GAAGCCGGAAUUGCUAGUAAUGGCAGGUCAGCAUACUGCCGUGAAUACGUUCCCGGGCCUUGUACACACCGCCCGUCAAGCCAUGGAAGCCGGGAGUGCCUGAAGUGUGCAACCGCAAGGAGCGCCCUAAGGUAAAACUGGUGACUGGGGCUAAGUCGUAACAAGGUAUC
This 170-nucleotide ribosomal RNA is filed under the name uncultured bacterium. Its description in RNAcentral is "partial 16S ribosomal RNA". It matches the Rfam family "Bacterial small subunit ribosomal RNA", at positions 1322 to 1500 of the family's 1533-position model. The record is from RNAcentral.